RNAcentral lists this ribosomal RNA (253 nucleotides) under uncultured bacterium. Its description in RNAcentral is "partial 16S ribosomal RNA". It matches the Rfam family "Bacterial small subunit ribosomal RNA", at positions 524 to 776 of the family's 1533-position model. The record is from RNAcentral.
UACGUAGGGGGCAAGCGUUGUCCGGAUUUAUUGGGCGUAAAGAGCGUGUAGGCGGCUUUGCAAGUCCGUUGUGAAAACUCGAGGCUCAACCUCGAGACGCCGGUGGAAACUGCAAAGCUAGAGUCCGGAAGAGGAGAGUGGAAUUCCUGGUGUAGCGGUGAAAUGCGUAGAGAUGUGGAGGAACACCAGUGGCGAAGGCGACUCUUUGGCCUGUAACUGACACUGAGGCGCGAAAGCGUGGGGAGCAAACAGG